This 490-nucleotide ribosomal RNA is filed under the name uncultured bacterium. Its description in RNAcentral is "partial 16S ribosomal RNA". It matches the Rfam family "Bacterial small subunit ribosomal RNA", at positions 30 to 507 of the family's 1533-position model. The record is from RNAcentral.
AUUGAACGCUGGCGGCAGGCCUAACACAUGCAAGUCGAACGGUAACAGGAAGCAGCUUGCUGCUUCGCUGACGAGUGGCGGACGGGUGAGUAAUGUCUGGGAAGCUGCCUGAUGGAGGGGGAUAACUACUGGAAACGGUAGCUAAUACCGCAUAAUGUCGCAAGACCAAAGAGGGAGACCUUCGGGCCUCUUGCCAUCGGAUGUGCCCAGAUGGGAUUAGCUUGUUGGUGGGGUAACGGCUCACCAAGGCGACGAUCCCUAGCUGGUCUGAGGGGAUGACCAGCCACACUGGGACUGAGACACGGUCCAGACUCCUACGGGAGGCAGCAGUGGGGAAUAUUGCACAAUGGGCGCAAGCCUGAUGCAGCCAUGCCGCGUGUAUGAAGAAGGCCUUCGGGUUGUAAAGUACUUUCAGCGGGGAGGAAGGGAGUAAAGUUAAUACCUUUGCUCAUUGACGUUACCCGCAGAAGAAGCACCGGCUAACUCCGUG